This 253-nucleotide ribosomal RNA is filed under the name uncultured bacterium. RNAcentral's name for it is "partial 16S ribosomal RNA". It matches the Rfam family "Bacterial small subunit ribosomal RNA", at positions 524 to 776 of the family's 1533-position model. The record is from RNAcentral.
UACAGAGGUCUCAAGCGUUGUUCGGAUUCAUUGGGCGUAAAGGGUGUGUAGGUGGCGCGCUAAGUCGGGUGUGGAAUUUCGGAGCUUAACUCCGAAACUGCAUUCGAUACUGGCGUGCUUGAGGACUGGAGAGGAGACUGGAAUUCAUGGUGUAGCAGUGAAAUGCGUAGAGAUCAUGAGGAACACCGAUGGCGAAGGCAGGUCUCUGGGCAUUAACUGACGCUGAGGAGCGAAAGCAUGGGGAGCGAACAGG